UUAGGAAUCGUACACAAUGGACGAAAGUCUGAUGUCGUGACGCCGCGUGAAGGAUGAAGGUUUUCGGAUCGUAAACUUCUUUUCUGUAGGAUGAUUAUGACAGUACUACAGGAAUAAGCACCGGCUAACUACGUGCCAGAAGCCUCGGUAAUACGUAGGGUGCGAGCGUUAUCCGGAAUUAUUGGGCGUAAAGAGCGCGUAGGCGGUCUAUCAAGUCCAGUCUUAAAGCCUGCAGCCUAACUGCAGAGAUGGACUAGAAACUGUUAGACUUGAGUAAUUGCAGGGGUGAGCGGAAUCUACGGUGUAGGGGUAAAAUCCAUUGAUAUCGUAGAGAACACCAAUGGCGAAGGCAGCUCACUAGGCAUUCACUGACGCUGAGGCGCGAAAGCGUGGGUAGCGAACGGG
RNAcentral lists this ribosomal RNA (405 nucleotides) under uncultured bacterium. RNAcentral describes it as "bacterial SSU rRNA". It matches the Rfam family "Bacterial small subunit ribosomal RNA", at positions 355 to 776 of the family's 1533-position model. The record is from RNAcentral.